Cordylochernes scorpioides is the source of this 69-nucleotide non-coding RNA. NCBI's taxonomy places the organism in Eukaryota, Metazoa, Arthropoda, Arachnida, Pseudoscorpiones, Chernetidae. The record is from the annotation of a GenBank genome assembly.
UGUCCAGGGGCGGGAAUCGAACCCACGACCUUCCGCUUACCGGGCAGAUGCCAUGUCCACUAGGCUAGC